RNAcentral lists this ribosomal RNA (645 nucleotides) under Triticum aestivum (bread wheat). Its description in RNAcentral is "partial small subunit ribosomal RNA". Lineage: Eukaryota; Viridiplantae; Streptophyta; Magnoliopsida; Poales; Poaceae. The record is from RNAcentral.
AUGGCUUUAGUACGUGAUCUUUGGUUGCCAAGUAGUUUGGGCACGAUGACAGGGCCAAUUUGGCCAUCUAUUGAGGCCGAAAAUUUUGAGUUGAGGCCUGGACUUAUUGCUCUUGUCUUGCAGAAUCAGUUUAGAGGAUUACCCAAUGAAGACCCUCAUGAGCACAUUUGUAAUGUCCUGGAGUAUGCCAAUACUGUCCAGUACCAUGGAGUUUCCCAAGAUGCUAUCAAGUGUAUGCUGUUCACAUUCUCUCUCAGAGAUGCUGCUAAGGACUGGUACUAUUCUUUGCCAUCAAGAUCAUACACUUGGGGUGAUAUUUCGCAAGCUUUCCUGCACAAAUAUUUUCCACUUUACAAGCAAGCUGCAAUUCGUGACCAGAUCCUCAGUUUUGCGCAAGAUGGAAGUGAGAGCUUGUAUGCAGCUUGGGAGAGAUAUAAGUAUUUGCUUAGAAAAUGUCCUAAUCAUGGGCAAAAGGAUUGGUUAGUGCUCCAGAUAUUCUAUAGAGGGCUGACACAUGCUUCGAGAGAUCUUAUUGAUAUGUCCGCUGGUGGAACAAUCAUGAACAAGACCGUUGAGGGUGAAAUUAUUCUCAUUGAGAGCAUUGCCUUCCACCAAAUGCAAUGGGGUUAUGAAAGGCCUAGUUAA